AGCCAUGCCGCGUGUGUGAAGAAGGCCUUCGGGUUGUAAAGCACUUUCAGUUGUGAGGAAAAGUUGGUAGUUAAUACCUGCUAGCCGUGACGUUAACAACAGAAGAAGCACCGGCUAACUCCGUGCCAGCAGCCGCGGUAAUACGGAGGGUGCGAGCGUUAAUCGGAAUUACUGGGCGUAAAGCGCACGCAGGCGGUUUGUUAAGCUAGAUGUGAAAGCCCCGGGCUCAACCUGGGAUGGUCAUUUAGAACUGGCAGACUAGAGUCUUGGAGAGGGGAGUGGAAUUCCAGGUGUAGCGGUGAAAUGCGUAGAUAUCUGGAGGAACAUCAGUGGCGAAGGCGACUCCCUGGCCAAAGACUGACGCUCAUGUGCGAAAGUGUGGGUAGCGAACAGGAUUAGAUACCCUGGUAGUCCACACCGUAAACGCUGUCUACUAGCUGUGUGUGAUUUUAAAUCGUGCGUAGCGAAGCUAACGCGCUAAG
Molecule: ribosomal RNA, 482 nt
Filed under: Alteromonas gracilis
Lineage: Bacteria; Pseudomonadati; Pseudomonadota; Gammaproteobacteria; Alteromonadales; Alteromonadaceae
Description: bacterial SSU rRNA
Rfam family: Bacterial small subunit ribosomal RNA
Source: RNAcentral